RNAcentral lists this ribosomal RNA (440 nucleotides) under uncultured Rahnella sp. Its description in RNAcentral is "bacterial SSU rRNA". It matches the Rfam family "Bacterial small subunit ribosomal RNA", at positions 358 to 790 of the family's 1533-position model. Lineage: Bacteria; Pseudomonadati; Pseudomonadota; Gammaproteobacteria; Enterobacterales; Yersiniaceae. The record is from RNAcentral.
GGAAUAUUGCACAAUGGGCGCAAGCCUGAUGCAGCCAUGCCGCGUGUGUGAAGAAGGCCUUAGGGUUGUAAAGCACUUUCAGCGAGGAGGAAGGCAUCACACUUAAUACGUGUGGUGAUUGACGUUACUCGCAGAAGAAGCACCGGCUAACUCCGUGCCAGCAGCCGCGGUAAUACGGAGGGUGCAAGCGUUAAUCGGAAUUACUGGGCGUAAAGCGCACGCAGGCGGUUUGUUAAGUCAGAUGUGAAAUCCCCGAGCUUAACUUGGGAACUGCAUUUGAAACUGGCAAGCUAGAGUCUUGUAGAGGGGGGUAGAAUUCCAGGUGUAGCGGUGAAAUGCGUAGAGAUCUGGAGGAAUACCGGUGGCGAAGGCGGCCCCCUGGACAAAGACUGACGCUCAGGCGCGAAAGCGUGGGGAGCAAACAGGAUUAGAUACCCCGG